Nerophis ophidion (straightnose pipefish) is the source of this 816-nucleotide long non-coding RNA. RefSeq lists it as uncharacterized. The record is from RefSeq and is a predicted model, not a curated record. NCBI's taxonomy places the organism in Eukaryota, Metazoa, Chordata, Actinopteri, Syngnathiformes, Syngnathidae. The transcript has 2 exons.
AGGUCGUACAUAAUAAAAUCUUCAAAUAUUAAAAUAUUUUUUAUCAGUCAAUAAGUGCAUCAGUGACCAAAUGCCUUUUUCAAACCAUUGCUGUUCAAAGAUGGAUUUGUUUCUCAUUUUAAUAUAAGAACAAUUCCAUAGUGGAGUAUUGUGUGUGAUGAAGUUGUGUUUGUAAAUUAGUUUCCAGUACAACAACACUUGCUGGUAGGGAUGGGUACUGUUCACUUCUAAUUCCAUGUUUUAUGUGUUAUAUAUGUCAAUAUAUUGUGUGUUUGUAUUUUGCCAACAUGGUAGAAUCACACGAUAGGCAGGUUGUAUCAUGUUUUUCUGUCACCUGUCAUGGCACACACACUGUCUGCUGUGGGAACACCAAGAGGCUCCAUUGUGAGCCAAGCAGGACACGCCCCCAUGCUUGUUGCGCAGACCGCGCCGACACAGCAGGUGGCAAUCUACCAACGACACACCUGGGACUAAUGAGAGGCGACAGAAUAAAGAGCUUCGUCGCUGACUGCUUCUCGUGGGAACGUAGUCCUGGUUACACCUUCGUGCCUCAGUCGUUGCCUUGCACUUCUACCCGGAUUCUGAUUGCCUCCCUUGAUUCUCGACCCCACACCCGGAUUUGGACCUCGGACGCUUCUCUCCUGCCCCACGGACCUUGCUUGGAUCACGAACCCUUUGGGAUCUUCCUCUCUGGACUUGGACGCUGCCACAACCAACACACACCUUCAACAAACCCACGGUAAUUCACAUUGUGUUAAAGGGGAACAUUAUCACAAUUUCAAAAGGGUUAAAAACAAUAAAAAUCAGUUCUCAGUG